UAAGGUCUAACAGUUACAGCUUCAGGACCUCUAGAUGUCCUCGAAUGCGAUUGUCAUUGCUUCCCAACUGUACAAGUUUGUUAGCAAUGCGUGUUAGAUGCCCUAUGUUACCCAGUCGGGGUGCUUGUUUACCAGUAGCAGGAAAAGUGGGCUGACUUUCACUGCCAGAAACUGUGGGCUGUUUAUCCGUUUGAAGAAUUUUUCUAAGCAAAUUACAGUCUUCAAAAAGAUGAUCGACCAGGACGCUGUUUCUGCUUUCCAAGCAUGAAUUGAUUAUACUCUCUACGUGAUG
RNAcentral lists this unclassified non-coding RNA (292 nucleotides) under Hevea brasiliensis (rubber tree). The record is from RNAcentral. Lineage: Eukaryota; Viridiplantae; Streptophyta; Magnoliopsida; Malpighiales; Euphorbiaceae.